UGGGGAAUAUUGCACAAUGGGCGCAAGCCUGAUGCAGCCAUGCCGCGUGUAUGAAGAAGGCCUUCGGGUUGUAAAGUACUUUCAGCGGGGAGGAAGGGAGUAAAGUUAAUACCUUUGCUCAUUGACGUUACCCGCAGAAGAAGCACCGGCUAACUCCGUGCCAGCAGCCGCGGUAAUACGGAGGGUGCAAGCGUUAAUCGGAAUUACUGGGCGUAAAGCGCACGCAGGCGGUUUGUUAAGUCAGAUGUGAAAUCCCCGGACUCAACCUGGGAACUGCAUCUGAUACUGGCAAGCUUGAGUCUCGUAGAGGGGGGUAGAAUUCCAGGUGUAGCGGUGAAAUGCGUAGAGAUCUGGAGGAAUACCGGUGGCGAAGGCGGCCCCCUGGACGAAGACUGACGCUCAGGUGCGAAAGCGUGGGGAGCAAACAGG
Molecule: ribosomal RNA, 429 nt
Filed under: Chloroflexota bacterium
Lineage: Bacteria; Bacillati; Chloroflexota
Description: Chloroflexi bacterium partial 16S ribosomal RNA
Rfam family: Bacterial small subunit ribosomal RNA
Source: RNAcentral